GAAAGAUAAAAAAAUACCAAUGAAACAUAUAGCAGCUUCUAUAUAUACAAAUAAUUAUAUAAAUAUAUAUAAAACAUUUCAUAAAGGAAUAAAAACUUUAUUAAAUUUAAAUAUGUCUGAAAUCGAUUUGUUAAUAAAUAAAAGGAAAUAUGCUUGUGAAAUAGUUUAUUAUAAAAGAUUAACAGAAGUAAAAUCAUCUUGUAACAAUUUUAUUUUUACUAUGUAUAAUGAAAACCUAAGUUCAAUUGAAUAUUAUUUUGAUAAAUUAAAAGAAAAAAUUACUUUAAUAAGCCUAGCUAAAACAGAAGAUAUGUUUAUUACAUUAAUGAAUUUGAUAUCGGAUAUAUUCCCGAAUAAAACGACAAACAUUGAGCAGCUUAAAAAUGGGGAACGUACCAAAAAAACGGAUGGGACGAGUGGAACGGAUGGGACGAGUGGAACGGAUGGAACGGGUGGAGAGAAAAAGACAAAUGCAAAACUAGAUUUAAAACCAUUAGAAAGAAAUAAAGUGCUCUUUUUGUACGAUAGCGAAAAAAACAAAUGUGGGUCAACCAAUAAACUAAACAGAACUAACAUAACAUACAAUUUAUUUCAUUUUUUUAAUAAAGAAUUUUUUAAUAACAAACUAACUAAUAUAAAUAUCGAGUUUGUAAAAAAUGAUAACAUACUAUCAACUCAUAUAAAUUUCAUAAAUACUUUUGAACAUUCAAAAAUUUUGAUUAAUGAUCUUAUUUAUUCUAUUGAUAUUUUAGCUAAUGUGUUACUAAAAGAAAUGGCUGAAAUUUAUUAUUUUUAUAAUGAUAAUAAAAUAGAAAAGGAAAAUAAAUUGUUUUUAAAAAAUGACUUUACUAGUGCUUAUCUACCAAUCGUUUUUAAAUAUUCCAAAAAUUAUUUAAAAAAAGAUGACACGACUGAAAAACUCAAGUUUGUUUUUGAGCUUGACGAACCCGGGGUACCGAACAAGCUUGAAAAAGCAGACGAUAUCAGCGAGACCAAAACCAACGAACACCUAUCCGAAAGAGCACGAUUCGAAGCUGAAAAAGACAAAUUCGAUUUUGAAAAUUUAUUUAACAAAAUAGCUGAACAUGAUCAUGACGAAAUGUUCAAAGAGAUUAU
Molecule: long non-coding RNA, 1116 nt
Filed under: Piliocolobus tephrosceles (Ugandan red Colobus)
Lineage: Eukaryota; Metazoa; Chordata; Mammalia; Primates; Cercopithecidae
Description: lncRNA (ENSPTEG00000018175.1)
Source: RNAcentral